AGAAAUUUGGUUGUGCUCGAGUGUCAGUGUUGGUUCGUCUGUAGUAGUCGAGCGUAGCAGAGUUGCAACACAAUAGUAUCACAAAGACGGCACACUAGGAUGAUCAUGGAAGCUCGUAGGAAAGUUAUGUAUCAAGUGUUGGUCGAACAUGCCUUUUAAAGAGUAUUAAAGGCACCUCCAUCUGCAAAUUUAAUCUUGUAAACUUUGGCCUCUUAUCAGCUCCGAUGACUACUGUUUCGUUCCAAAGUACAUCUAAUGCACCUUCGAGGUGCCUCCAGUGCAUUCCAGGAUGCUUUCGCUCAAAUCUAUGCACAGGCACCUCCAUUAGGUCCAGGAUGCCUCUGCGCACCUCGGAGGUUGGUGAAGUUUGCUCCACAUUGCUAAAAAUAUCAGCCUGGGCCGCCUGCUGAGUUCUAGUUCAUCGGCGUUUUCGUUAAAGUGUCUUAUGAUGAGACGUUCAUAAUCAUGUCAGUAAGUACUUUUACUUGGCAAAACACAAGCCGAUAAUGACCAAUUAUGAGCUGAAAAACACAAGCAGUGAGUUAACAAUGACUAAUGAUGUAAGUUGAAGGAAUAAAGUGCAGAGAGAAUUUGUUGUAUUAUUUUGUUUUAAAAAAUUAAUUAAUCACUUUUAUUAAAAAGUGUAGUAUAUUAUUUGUAUGCCAUUAUUUUCAUAUAGGAAUAUAUUUUACAUUUUCAGUUGCA
Zingiber officinale is the source of this 705-nucleotide long non-coding RNA. RefSeq lists it as uncharacterized. Lineage: Eukaryota; Viridiplantae; Streptophyta; Magnoliopsida; Zingiberales; Zingiberaceae. The record is from RefSeq and is a predicted model, not a curated record. The transcript is spliced from 2 exons.